GAUGAAAGAACGCAGUGAAAUGCGAUAAUUAAUGUGAAUUGCAGAAUUCAGUGAAUCAUCGAGUCUUUGAACGCACAUUGCGCCCCCUGGUAUUCCGGGGGGCAUGCCUGUCCGAGCGUCAUUGCUGCCCUCAAGCACGGCUUGUGUGUUGGGCUUCCGUCCCUGGCAACGGGGACGGGCCCAAAAGGCAGUGGCGGCACCAUGUCUGGUCCUCGAGCGUAUGGGGCUUUGUCACCCGCUCCCGUAGGUCCAGCUGGCAGCUAGCCUCGCAACCAAUCUUUUUAACCAGGUUGACCUCGGAUCAGGUAGGGAUACCCGCUGAACUUAAGCAUAUCAAUAAGCGGAGGA
RNAcentral lists this unclassified non-coding RNA (348 nucleotides) under soil metagenome. RNAcentral describes it as "partial contains 5.8S ribosomal RNA, internal transcribed spacer 2, and large subunit ribosomal RNA". The stretch from base 6 to 121 matches the Rfam family "5.8S ribosomal RNA", at positions 39 to 154 of the family's 154-position model. The record is from RNAcentral.